CGGUGGCCGUUGGGGCAGCGGGCGGGGGUGGCAGCUCGUGUGCGUCCCUCCGCCGUCAGCGCCGGCAGCGAGUGAGCCCCGCGCUCGUGCCCGGCCGCCGUUUUUAUACGGCGUCUCGGCACGCGGGCCCGCUCGCGCCUCACGCUUCACGCCCGCUUGCCUGUGAUUGGCUGCAGCCGGCUCUCGGCCCCGCCCUUGGAGCGGGGGUGGGUAGGGGAAGGGGGGAGAGCGCGUGCACCCGGCUCGCGGCGCCUCCAGCGUCUGUGAUUGGUGCGCGCGCGCGAGGGGAGCACGAGGCGCUCGCCCCCGGGGCGGGGGCUGAGCCUGAGGGGAGCGCUGAGGGAAGCCUUGAAACUCCUGGUUGUGAUAUCUACUGUGGUACAACACCAGCUUCAGAUGUAGCUGCAACCCACAGAACAAUACAUCAUGACGUGAGUAUCACUUUUAAAUACAGGCCCUUCAACAUCUGCUUUACUUUUGGACGAGAGUCAAACUCUUCCGCAACCCUAUCCCAGCUCCCCUCACUGCCUCCCCUCCCCGAUCCCAACAGAGUUCAAGAGUGCAGCCACAAAACCUUUGUCAAACGAGAUUCUUGCAGCAACCUCCCUCCCCAGCCUGGGGACUGCGCAGAAAUCCCCUUGCGAGGGAGUCCCUCCCAACCUAUGCUCAAAGUAGAAAACAGUUGCUAUAGUAACCAGUUCUCUACCUGCACGGAAUUGGCUCGCUCUUCCCUCUUAAUCUUCUCCGGUUUUAUUAGUUCUGGGCGAGAAGCAGCUCGUCAGGUCAGGGCUGUGCUUGGUUCUGCAGGCUGGAGGAAUGCGAGGAAGGCACUGAGGGGGCGGGGGUCGUCACCCGUCAGGUGGCUGUUGCUUGUUAACUUUGCCUGAACGUCCCGCGUGAGGGCUGCCAGCACUGUCCUUUUGUGACAGAGCCACCCGAGCUGCAGAGGGAGAGGCACUUUGCUUCCCCUUCCUGCUCCAGUUUGUGGUGGAACCUUACUACUAUCUUGUCCAAGAGCAGACCCAUCACUUUCCGUCUGUAGCCUUCCUUGCACAUCCUUUGCAGCCUCACUGGGAUAGAUUUCAGUGGAAAAAGAGACUGAAUAGAGUUUAUUUUCUUUGACAGCACAUUUUUGCAACUCUUCCUAGGGUUAAGAAUUACCACAAAACACUGAAAACACUGAUAAAAUUCUAAACUAUGAUAAAUAGUAUAUUUUCCAAUAUGUCUGCUGUGGCCAGGCAUUAAACUAAUAGUUUCCUGCAAUAUGAAUUCCAUUGUGGAAGUGUAUAGCUAGGAGCCAAACAAACCUGCUGUAAGGAAUAACACUCCAGACCCACCUCUAGUUUUGCCUGUGCGACACAGAGAAGUUGCCUGUGCAAGGUGGGGCGUGUUCCCUUGACAGCAAGUGGACUGAGGAGGGUAUGAUGGUGACUAGGAAGGGGGAAAAACCCAUGGAAUUAACUACUGUAGAUGUAGUUAUGGCCACUAAUAAGAGGCUGCAGAGGAUAGUGUAGGACAGAGCAGGUACUGCACUAUAACAAGGCACCAGGCACUGUCACUGCUUGUAUUAAAUGCUCGGAGCCCAUGUGCUGUGAAGGACCAAAAGCAUUGACUGGACAUUGGGACAGACUAGGCAGGAGCAAGCCAACUAGAAGACUUUCUUCUUAUGCUCAUGUAGCUGCCAUUACCAUGAUAGUAAAUGCUUUAUAUUUAAGUACAACACAAUAAAAAGAUUCCAGAACAAGCCCACAUCGCUAUGUUGCUUGAACAACAGCCAGUAGUAAAAUAGAAAUGUGCAUGCAUUUCUAAAACAUUUCAAAGUCCAUUAUUGAUCCGAAUAAUGAGGUAGGUCACAGACUAAUCUUAAAAUGAUUUUGUCUUCUAAAAUAUCUUUUUUUUUCCCACUCUGUUUUUCCUUGUUAUGCAACAAUUUGCUAUGCUAAGCAUGCACAGCAACAGACUAAUAGCAAGGUGAAAUAACUGAUUUGUGAUGGAACUUGCAACUCCAGUAUUGCUGGUUAUUCAAGCAUGGUGCAGUUUCCCCCUAUGUUAGGAUGUAAAAAGGUGGAUUCCAGAUAUAGAUUCCAGACACCAUAGUUUUGACUCAGGUGCUGAUUAUGCUUAAGCAAUUGGCAUAGCUUUUAUGGCACCUUGGCAGUUUCCCAUUUAAGCCACAGAAUGGUUUCUAGCUGGUUAUUUCCUCAUGGGCCAUUAAACCUCUAACAGUCAGCAUAAGGAAGGGGCAGAGGGAAGUUUUGGAAUCUUCGGGGAGCCAAGCCUGCAGCAAUGGCAGCAGUGGAACUCUGCCUGGGGCAAGACACAUGUUCUAGGCAAGAGUUUCACCUCUUCACCUCACUCAGUCCUAUUUGUUCCUUGCCAGUGAUAACAAUUAGUAGUCUGAGGUUAAAGAAAGGUCACUGAGUGAGAAAAUGAUUCCAAAUAGACACAGUAUGAUUAUUCAUGGUGAGCUGACUGCCAAAGAAGUGGUCACUGGACUUGGAGCGCACACGUGGAGGACAAACAGGGUAAACACAGGAGGGUCACCAGAAUAGAGGUUUGAUCCUUUCAGGGGCUGGCCGUGUUCCUCCUCACACACAUGUACACACAUUGAUUUUCAAGUGCUCUAGCCUGAAACCUAGAAAACUACAGGUCAUGUCUGUUUUACACAUACACUGACAAUUUCUUAGCCUAACUGGUGAGAUUUAAGUCACAUUGCUAUUUAUAGGAGGAAACCCAUCACUUUAAAUUUUCUGUGCUCAUUUAUUUUAUAUGUAUAUAUGUAUAAAUUCUCCCAAAAGAUCAAAUAAAAUUUUUAAGUCAGUCCUCUGACCUAGUAUCUUUGACUAACAAUAUCUUGUUAUUGUACAGAUCUUUAGAUUUUCAAUAAUCUUUUAAUUGUCAUACUGGCAUAAAAUGAGAGGAGUGGAUUUUUGUGUGAAACACUCAAAAUCAUCCAGAUAAAUGCCUUCCUUCAGAAACAGUCACUGAUUAUGCCUGGAAGAUGAGGGUAACUUUAUAGACAGCCAGAGUGGUUCUGUGAUAUGCCUAAACUACCUUAAUGUAACAGCUGUAGACUGGCUUUUGACCUCAGAAGUGAGAUCACUGUUAAUUGUUACCAGAAUAGUGCUGUACACUACAGAGCAUUUUAAUUGUACAUUACAGAGGAUUUUGAAACACUCAUGAUAACAAUUACUCAUGAUAACUAGAAAAUACUGGUCACCAAGAAAUUAACCCAGAUUAGAAACCUUCUGAAAGCAGAAUGAAACCCAUUGCCUCUUUAAGCAGAGCACGUAGUACUCAGUUACAGGUAUUUAACAGAUGUAUGAAUUAAAUGCAACAUGAUAGAACUAAUUUUCCCUUUCCAUUCUGUGGAUAACACGUGCUGACUGAAUUUACAAAUCUGGUUUGUUAUGUAUUAAUCAGUCAUCUGUGAAUCUGAUUGAGUAACACAGUAGUUGUGCAAUACCAAGACUCCCAUAUAAAUCAUGCCUGAGUCCUAAGUCAAUAUUGGUUCAAAUACUGAUUCCCAUGAGAGAUAGGGCUGCAGCUGAAGAGGUUACAGGUGCCAACUGAACCACUUCAGAGAGGACUGCUCCGUCCAUGUUCAUUUGAGAUCGACAUCAAAGUGCUCACUUCAGUUUGGAUUCAUGAGAACGGAGCAUUUGCCUUCACUUUUG
RNAcentral lists this long non-coding RNA (3677 nucleotides) under Catharus ustulatus (Swainson's thrush). RNAcentral's name for it is "lncRNA (ENSCUSG00005002119.1)". The record is from RNAcentral. Lineage: Eukaryota; Metazoa; Chordata; Aves; Passeriformes; Turdidae.